RNAcentral lists this unclassified non-coding RNA (370 nucleotides) under uncultured Pseudomonadota bacterium. RNAcentral's name for it is "uncultured proteobacterium contains 16S-23S intergenic spacer region". The record is from RNAcentral. Lineage: Bacteria; Pseudomonadati; Pseudomonadota.
UCCGGUUUGUCACCGGCAGUCUCAUUAGAGUGCCCUUGCGUAGCAACUAAUGAUAAGGGUUGCGCUCGUUGCGGGACUUAACCCAACAUCUCACGACACGAGUUGACGACAGCCAUGCAGCACCUGUGUCACGGUUCCCGAAGGCACCGAGGCAUCUCUGCCAAGUUCCGUGCAUGUCAAGACCAGGUAAGGUUAUUCGCGUUGCAUCGAAUUAAACCACAUGCUCCACCGCUUGUGCGGGCCCCCGUCAAUUCCUUUGAGUUUUAAUCUUGCGACCGUACUCCCCAGGCGGAAUGCUUAAAGCGUUAGCUGCGCCACUAGUGAGUAAACCCACUAACGGCUGGCAUUCAUCGUUUACGGCGUGGACUAC